Molecule: long non-coding RNA, 2987 nt
Organism: Diabrotica virgifera virgifera (western corn rootworm)
Lineage: Eukaryota; Metazoa; Arthropoda; Insecta; Coleoptera; Chrysomelidae
Exons: 3
Source: RefSeq, a predicted model, not a curated record
UGUUUUGACAGUUCUCUUACGUCAAAAAUUUUGACCUACGUAAUAUCGCUUUUGUAGUAAAAAUACUAUAUCAAACACAACUUGUAUGCUUAAUUCAAAAUAAAGCACUAACCUUUAAAAACGUUUUUUCUCGAUUUCGGUAUUUCGACAUUUAUCUGGUUUUCGUAGUAUACCGACGAUAUACUUGCUAACUAGCUCCAGAACCAAACAAUGGUUGUACUUAUAAUUCAAUCUACAUUAUAGUAUUGUAAAAUUGAAAAGGCUAAACGCCGAUGAUAAAAGAUUAUCUCCAGGAACAUGGUGAAACUCUAAACGAGAACCCUAGAGUUUCACCGAGAACCCACUUAGAGUUUCAUCAUGUUACCGGAGAUAAUAUUUUAACAUCAGCGUUUAGCCUUUUCAAUUUUACAAUACUAUAAUGUACAUUGAAUUAUAAGUACAACCAUUGUUUGGUUAUGGGGCUAGUUAGCAAGUAUUAGGCAAUCCAAACCACGUGACCUCUGGUUGGCACACAAACUAACAAAGAGGUUAUGUUUGUAUCUAUUUUUCAAUGAUUUUUCAUUGUUUAUCGUCGUAUUUUGUCUAUUUUGGAUGCAUUUGGAUUUCGUUUCCUGUUUUUGUCAACUUUAUAAACUUUACCACAAUGCAAACUGAUUAUUUAAGGAAAUUAUUAUUGGAAACUCCAGAUGUUGCGAGAAAGAUAUUUAUUGAAGCUGAAAAUAAUUGGGGAUUUAGAUCCAUACGCAAUUCAGUCAGAAUUGGAUUUUACAGUAAAGUGCAGACCAUUAAGUUACUAUUAUAGAUAUUUAUACAUAUCUGGUGGAAUCUCGGAGUUGCUACUCUAAGCAGCAGAUGAAAGCAUACAAAAGCCUUCAGGCACAUAAAUAUUUUACAGCUGGAUUUGUUUUGAAUGGAGUAAAAAUUGUUAAUGAUUUCCUGAUUUCCAUAUUAUUGUUGAAAAGGUGAAGCAUUUCCAAAAAUCUAAUGCUAAACGACUAAAUGCUUGGGUGGGGUGAUAGCCAGUUCUGAUGACAUAGCAAAUGCAGAUUGUAUGUGUUGGCUGGUAAUAGUGAAGUCUGCAGCAAUCCUAUUUUUAGCUGAGUAUGCCCAGGGCAAGACAGACGAAGAAGAACCCAAUGCAUGUACAUAUGUUACAGCUACAUGGUUUGGAGAUAGCAACAUACGCAUUCUCUGAUGAAAAACUAAUGAGUUUUGAAACUGUUCGGUCAGAGUGCUUCUUGUGCUCACUAAACGAACUGAAAUAUAAGAUGGCUUGGGCAUUGUGUUGCAGCGAUAUGAAAAUGGUUAUUCAUUUUUAAUUAUAAUGUACUUCUUCAUCAUGAGUAAUUAUGUAUUGGUCUUUUAAAUGUGUAUUUAUUUUUGUAAUUAGUAUCAACUUGUAAUGAUAAUAUACAUUUAUCGUUUAAGGUAUGACUAUGUUUUGACUCUAAAAUAAAUGAUUUAAAAAUCGAAUCCUGCCUCUUUCUGUUAGUAACUACCCAUGGAUAUCACAAAUAGUGAUUACUGAUAGGUUUGUUCUUAGAAUGAUCAGCAACUCUUGCCAACCAUCAGACACAUGUGCAUUCGUAGUCUAUGAAUGCUAACUAUUAACUGCUCAUGCAUCUGAUGGUUGGCAGCAGUUGCUAAUCGUUUGUGUCGUACUACGAACAAACCUAUUAGGCCUGGAUCCCAUGUACCAAAAAAAUUGAUUAAUAGCAAGCUGAAAAUUUGUUAAUAGCUUAACGGUGUCCAGUUGGACAAACUUUGAUGUAUUGUGACACUGAAACAGGGAUAGUUUUAAUUGUGAAACAGUUUGGAAACUCAGAUUACAAAAACAUCCCAUAUAUUUCGUCGGACAGAACAUUCAAUUGAUUUGUUAUCCUUUCAUUAAAUUCUCAUGCAAAAAUCAGACUGCUUUUACUAACCAACAUGAUUCCUGUAGUUUGAUAUGGUCUUCGUGUUCUACUCAUUAAAAUGCCUAGUUGGUGAUUUUUUCACCAGUCUGGUUUUUGCAUGAGAAUUUAAUGAAUUGGUAGCAAAUCAAUUGGAAGUUUUAUCUGACAAAUUACAUAAACAUUUUCGUAGUUUGACGUUCCAAAUUUUUAACCUGUCCCACAGUUAAAACUUCCAGUGUUCCCGUACAUCAAAGUUUGUCGGACUAGACACCGUUAAGCUAUUAAUAAAUUUUCAGCUUGCUAUUAAUCAACUUUUUUUGGUACACAGGAUCCAGGUCUAUAUGGAAUAAAUAAAUAACAAAACAAAUUCCCUGUCAAAACUGCAUUUAUUUUGAAUAGAAUGAAAAACAAAAUAAUAUUGUUUUAACAAAAUAGGGGAUAAAUGUUAAAAUUUAGUAUUAAUAAAGUUUGUCACAUUGGCCUAAAAAUUAAUGUCACUAGUUACGUUAGUGUCACAUAUAAAUAAUUGUAAUAAUAUUAAUAAAAACCAUAAUUCCUAGCAUAAGUGCGUCCUGUUUUUUGAUAAUUUAGUUAGGCGAGGAAACAUAAAUGAGUUUCUAAUAGGGCUUUUCAUCGAUUGUCAUUUGUUUCAAGCUUCUGUUAGAUGUUGUAUAAUCCGUGUAUAAUAUUACUAUACACGGAUUAUAUGACAUAUGACAGAAGCUCAAAACAAAUGACUGUGAAUGAAAAGCCCUAUAGAGGGAACACGAAAAAAAUUAAUAUUAACCGAUCAGCUUGACUUCCACAGUUCCCUACUAUACAAGUUACAGGCAUGUUUUCAGCACUUAAAAUCACCAAAAACGAAAAGUUUAUAAAAUAAUUAAUCUAAUGAAUGUCUUUAAAUACUAUAUUAAGCUCAAAAUCACGACAAAAAACAAAUUAAAAUUAACAUUAUUCUGAACAGUUGGACUUCCACAGUUCACUACUAUACAAGUCACAGGCAUGUUGUCAGCACUCAAAAUCAUCAAAAACGUAAAGUUUAUAAAAUAAUUAAUCUAAUGAAUGUCUUUAAAUACUAUAUUAAGCUCAAAA